Molecule: long non-coding RNA, 583 nt
Organism: Lactuca sativa (garden lettuce)
Lineage: Eukaryota; Viridiplantae; Streptophyta; Magnoliopsida; Asterales; Asteraceae
Source: RefSeq, a predicted model, not a curated record
CUCUCUCUCUCUCUCUCUCCACAUGGGUUAAAAUCAGGACAAAUAAAAGAGAGAUCGGAGUUGCAGGUUUUGCUGUCUGUACAUUUACUCGACUUCAUCCCUUUCAUCUCCAGUCUCUACCUUUCUAUGGUUCACACACGAUCACCCUAAUUUCAUCCAAACACGAUUUAUAAAUUUAGACCUCUCAGACAACAAAAUUGCUGGAGAAAUACCAAGUUGAAUCUGGGAGGUUGGAAAUGGAGGUUUUUCAUAUCUGAACCUUCCUCCGCUUUUUGUCCUCAAUCUGUAUUCCAAUCGCCUCACUAGGGUGAUUCCGGUUCCACCACAAUCUCUAACAAUUUACUCACUGGGGAAUCUUGGGGGUACUAAACCUACAAAUUGUAAGCAAUGAAGAUCUAAAUUAGAUGCAAGCAAAAAACGAAAUCAGAUGAAGAUCAUCGCCUCCUUCCCAAAUUUAUUCGCCAAGGGUUUUUCAGAUGGUAACUCAAGAAUCGAAAGCCUAAAUUUGAAUCAAAACCGAAAUUGUGCGUGUUUAUGUGUAUUAAUUCCCUCAAAUGGAAUCAGAUAGUGUGUUUCUGUUUUU